CACGUAGGAGGCGAGCGUUAUCCGGAUUUACUGGGUGUAAAGCGCGAGCAGGCGGUUUUGUAAGUUGGGUGUGAAAGCUCCUGGCUUAACUGGGAGAGGUCGCUCAAGACUGCAAGGCUAGAGCAUGGUAGAGGAAGGUGGAAUUCCGGGUGUAGUGGUGAAAUGCGUAGAGAUCCGGAGGAACACCAGUGGCGAAAGCGGCCUUCUGGGCCAUGACUGACGCUCAGACGCGAAAGCCAGGGGAGCAAACGGGAUUAGAACUCCGAGU
RNAcentral lists this ribosomal RNA (268 nucleotides) under uncultured bacterium. RNAcentral's name for it is "partial 16S ribosomal RNA". It matches the Rfam family "Bacterial small subunit ribosomal RNA", at positions 524 to 792 of the family's 1533-position model. The record is from RNAcentral.